This 582-nucleotide ribosomal RNA is filed under the name Alternaria alternata. RNAcentral describes it as "eukaryotic LSU rRNA". The stretch from base 198 to 351 matches the Rfam family "5.8S ribosomal RNA". Lineage: Eukaryota; Fungi; Ascomycota; Dothideomycetes; Pleosporales; Pleosporaceae. The record is from RNAcentral.
UCCGUAGGUGAACCUGCGGAGGGAUCAUUACGCAAAUAUGAAGGCGGGCUGGAACCUCUCGGGGUUACAGCCUUGCUGAAUUAUUCACCCUUGUCUUUUGCGUACUUCYAUGKUYMCUUGGGUGGGUUCGCCCACCACUAGGACAAACAUAAACCUUUUGUAAUUGCAAUCAGCGUCAGUAACAAAUUAAUAAUUACAACUUUCAACAACGGAUCUCUUGGUUCUGGCAUCGAUGAAGAACGCAGCGAAAUGCGAUAAGUAGUGUGAAUUGCAGAAUUCAGUGAAUCAUCGAAUCUUUGAACGCACAUUGCGCCCUUUGGUAUUCCAAAGGGCAUGCCUGUUCGAGCGUCAUUUGUACCCUCAAGCUUUGCUUGGUGUUGGGCGUCUUGUCUCUAGCUUUGCUGGAGACUCGCCUUAAAGUAAUUGGCAGCCGGCCUACUGGUUUCGGAGCGCAGCMUCWAGWCGCACUCUCUAUCAGCAAAGGUCUAGCAUCCAUUAAGCCUUUUUUUCAACUUUUGACCUCGGAUCAGGUAGGGAUACCCGCUGAACUUAAGCAUAUCAAUAAGCGGAGGAAUGACACCG